Molecule: unclassified non-coding RNA, 224 nt
Filed under: Hevea brasiliensis (rubber tree)
Lineage: Eukaryota; Viridiplantae; Streptophyta; Magnoliopsida; Malpighiales; Euphorbiaceae
Source: RNAcentral
GCUUACAGAGUAAUUCAGUCUCUCUCUUUCCAACCACAGGGCACCAAGAAAACCAUUUGCAUUAUGCACAAGAAAACUCUGACUAGAUAUAUUAAGUGAGGCACUUACUACUCAACUUAUGUUGGUGGUCUUGGAUGUGAAAACUAACAGAAGCUGGAACGAGUCAAAUAAUUGCAUAUACAAGAACAAGGUGGCAGAAUUCAAAAGAAGAAAAACAAGUGACA